ACACGACCUGUCUGUGCUGCCCUAAACACACACAAACACACAAACAAAAAGCCGGGACCACCUCCCCUGGCCGCCAGCCUCACUGCAGUCUCUGCUCUGAUUGGUCAAAGCAAACAGAGGGGUGGGCUUUGAAUGCCCAUAGGUUUAGAGCCUGAGGGCUUUUAUGCAAUACGGGGAAAAAAAAGAGUUAGAGUUACAUCAUAUAGUUCUAUAUAGUUCAGUGUGCUGCAGUGUCAGAGUGAAGGCUGCAGCGUGUCCUGAAGCAGAGGCCACAGACGCAGCUCAGCAGCUCCUACUGGUCAUGAAUGAAGAGCCGCCACUCUGCAGACAGCAGAGCAGGAAGAGACUGACUUCAUCUACCUUCACACGGCUGUUCUGCUCUCCUGCUUUGACAUUUGCUAAUUUCUGCUCCCUGGGCUUUGACUAGGCCAAAGGUCUCCAUCUCCAGUUCUCGAGGGUUACUGCCCUGCAACCUUCAUAGUGAAGCCCUACCCAUUUGAUGACGGGUCCAUUGACCCCUGAGUGUCGCUGUUCUCUGGCAGCUGUAACCUGAAACACAGGAACAAAAUUGAAGGUGUUCAGAGAAAAGCAGCAACUCUCAAGGGAUAAAACCAGCUGAAAGCACAGCUAUUGUUUGAGAAACACAAGCGUGAGAGCCACAGAAACACAGACAGGGAUAGAUGCGGACACUCCCAUAUUGCAAAGGUAUUCACAACAAUCUAAGGAGACCUUUUUAGAUAAUAUUUACUUGACAUUUUUGGGUGAAAAUGGCCUGAUGUUUAGUUUAUUAGUUUAGUUUUGAUCCUCUGUAAGUUUCACUAACAUAUUUCAGAAGAAUCAGAAGAAACUUACUUGAAGUCGGUGAUGAUGGGGUCCAGCUCUGGACCACUUAAAAUGGACAACCUGGAAUCAGAAAAAAGGAUCAGCCGCAUUGCCUCCGGAGCAUCAUCAUUACGGGGUUGCUUUUGAGAAGCAGCGUUUUAAUUUAGCAGUUCCACUCCUCAUUGUGACUGGAUGAAACAAAAAGAAAUGAAUGAAUGCGAACAUACCGGCUCGGUGAGUCUGGGCUGUCGGGGAUAUCUUGUGCCUGUUCAGCGACUCUGUGAAGACAACACAGAAAAUGCAAGACAUGAAUUCCUGAUGGAGCGAGGAGGAGGCGAGGGAGGAGAUCUCAGGAAUAAGGAUUUACAAGAUUGUUGGAGAUAAAUCAAAUGCUUACAAGGAAAGCCUCCUGGAAGACAACAAACCUUAAACAUAAUGGUUUUAACAAAAUGAAACAUUCAGAAAAAGGGCAGCCACACAAAUAUGGAAACCUGUCUUGUUUUAUAAAUCAACAAAUAUGCCUGCAAAGGCUGCAGUGUUUUCACACAAAGUAUAACAUGCAAACUGCCAAUAAUAUCACGAAAUUAGCAAAAUAUGAAAUGACUAUGCUAUUGCUGGAAAUUUCAAUAUCAAUAUCAGGUUUUAUCGCCUCUAUCUUUCUAAUAAUCUUCAGUUUUUUAUCAUUAAACGAUCUGAGCACCACUCCGAGAUUUAACAUCUGAGACGCUAAAGAAAUAGAUCAGGUGGGGCAUUAAGGGCAAUUACUGUCAAUCCAACAGUAAAAACGUAUUAUCAAUAUGCACAGCGAUUCUCUGACACUUUAAAUGUAACAUCCAACUCAUAGUGGCUAUGAGUAGUCUUAUUGCACAAUCUGACUCUGCAAUUCAAUAUAUUCAAUUUAUCGUGCAGAUCACCAACCAACCCAAGGUGCUGCACUUUGAAAAGGAUCACAGGUUAAACUUAAAGAAUGAUUUGCUGAGAAGACAUUAGUCCAACAAACAUAAGAAG
Xiphophorus hellerii (green swordtail) is the source of this 1830-nucleotide long non-coding RNA. RefSeq lists it as uncharacterized. The transcript has 3 exons. The record is from RefSeq and is a predicted model, not a curated record. Lineage: Eukaryota; Metazoa; Chordata; Actinopteri; Cyprinodontiformes; Poeciliidae.